Molecule: ribosomal RNA, 270 nt
Filed under: uncultured prokaryote
Description: partial 16S ribosomal RNA
Rfam family: Bacterial small subunit ribosomal RNA
Source: RNAcentral
AACGUAGGAGGCGAGCGUUAUCCGGAUUUACUGGGUGUAAAGCGCGUGCAGGCGGCUUCGUAAGUCGUGCGUGAAAGCGCUCAGGCUCAACCGGGCGAGGACGUGCGAAACUGCGAGGCUAGAGGCAGGUAGAGGCGUGUGGAAUUCCGGGUGUAGUGGUGAAAUGCGUAGAGAUCCGGAGGAACACCAGUGGCGAAGGCGACACGCUGGGCCUGACCUGACGCUAAGACGCGAAAGCAUGGGGAGCAAACGGGAUUAGAUACCCUAGUA